This 328-nucleotide long non-coding RNA is filed under the name Phoenix dactylifera (date palm). Its description in RNAcentral is "long non-coding RNA (PDAC_LNC012323)". The record is from RNAcentral. Lineage: Eukaryota; Viridiplantae; Streptophyta; Magnoliopsida; Arecales; Arecaceae.
AGGGCGGUGAUGCUGCUUGAUCCGGAAGCUAGGAUCGGUUGAUAUGCCUGGGAGCCAUGAGAUUGGCGGAAGAGGAGCGUGUCACGGAUCCGGCGCUGAGAACGGACGCCACGGAUCAUGCGUGGGAGGCGGAAAAUGUGGAGUGGAUGCUUUGCAGACGGCUGGGGGGGUCUGAUGCGGGUUCGGAAGAAGGGGAUCACGGGCUCGGAAGUUGUGGAGAUGAUCGCGGGCGGUAGAAGGCUGCCGCAGGAUGCUCACGAACGGCUAGAACGGAGGAAGAGCAGGCGCUGAUGGAGUUGCAAAUCCGACGGGCUGCACACGGACGCUG